Tetranychus urticae (two-spotted spider mite) is the source of this 3153-nucleotide non-coding RNA. Lineage: Eukaryota; Metazoa; Arthropoda; Arachnida; Trombidiformes; Tetranychidae. The record is from RefSeq and is a predicted model, not a curated record.
CUAGAAUCAAUGAUAGAUGAAGCUGUGUUUAUCUAACGACGAAUUUUUUGUUUGUAUUUUUUUAAAUUAUUGUUAGUUUUUUAAUUGUUUUGAGCUUAUUUUGGCAACUAAAGUAUCUUUGAAGUGACUCUUCGUAGCCUUUUAUUCAACUUCAGAUGCCUCCAAAGAAAGGUGCGGCUUCAUCCAGUAAAUCGGCUGGUAAAAGUGAUUCCAAAGAUUCUGGUAAAAAAGAGAGUAAAGAAAAGACCGGCUCAGGAAAUUCUGUGAAAGUUCGUCACAUACUUUGUGAAAAACAGUCAAAAGCUUUGGAAGCCAUUGAGAAAUUGAAAAGUGGCGUUAGUUUUUCUGAAGUUGCUAGGCUAUAUAGUGAAGAUAAAGCUCGUAAUGGUGGUGAUUUGGGAUGGAUGACCAGAGGAUCUAUGGUUGGACCUUUUCAAGAUGCUGCAUUUGCUUUAGCCACAUCGACUCCUAACAAUCCAAUUUAUACUGAUCCUCCAGUUAAGACAAAAUUUGGAUAUCAUUUAAUCAUGGUUGAAGGCAAAAAAUAGUGAAAUUUCAGCUUCUCAAAUCAGCCUUGGAUUCUUCGCACUGUCGUAAGCAUUUUAAAUCUUUUUGAUACUAACCUUUGAUUUAAUUUCAGGUACUAAGUCCAUCAUUAAUACUUUGUAAAAAGGUUAGGUAAUAAAGUCAUCAUUUAAAACAUUCAUUAAAUUUACAACGGAAACGACGGCUUUCAACUUCAACUCAUAAGCUUUUUUCAUUUACGUUAACACAUUAAACAUUAACGUUAAACAUUUACAAAGAUCACGGUAAUGUCAAAGAUUAGACAAUUAUUCAAAGGAUAAUAACGGUGUUUUUAUUAAAUUUAAUGUUCAUUUUUAAAAUUUAUGAUUUAAAGAAAUGGUUACAUAGUAUUGAUAAGGAUUUUCCCAUAAUACAUGUAUUCCCAAACAUCUUUUAUUCGUGAGGUACUAAUUGCAUUAAAUGGUUUCUUUGUAGAUUUUUGCUUUGAAUCGGGAGAAACAAGAGUUUUACCAUGGUAUUCCUGGACCAUGAACUAAAUGAUGGAUGCCUGGUUUGUUGAAUAUUUGCCCUCUGCUUAUAAGAUCAAGAAUGGGGAAACGAACAACUCUGAAAGGUGUUGAGAAGUAAACUUCAUUAAAUGGCAGUUUCAUGAAAUAAAAUUAAAAUCAUCUUUCGUGAAUCAAUACUUACGGAUGAUGUUUGACUCCAUCAGUAGCAAAACGUAUGUGGAUUGGAGCAAUCAAAUCAAUUAGAUUCCCUAAUUGAUGUGGAAUUGGUACUCGGAACAGAUAAUUGCCUUCACCAGAUGUUAAAUUCCAAGAAAUGAUGGACAUCAUUAAUAGCGAAAUCACAAAUUUGUACAUCUUCAUCAGUUUUUGAUUUUCUUUAAGAAACAAGGCCUCAGAAACAACACAAAAUGUAACUUCAAGACACAACGGUGAUAUGUUAGUCAACAAUUUUGAAAAUGAUUGUUACUCUACUUACUGGUGAUGAUGUUUGGACAAUUGAAACAAUUAAGAUGAGAGGUAAAAAUGAGAAAACAAACUUUCUAAAAUUUGGACGAUCCGGUUAAUGAACAAGAUAGCAAAAUCAGUCUUCCAUUUCUUUGGAAUGGACAGUUUCUUGAGCUCAGAAAUAAAGCGUGAAUCAAAAUUUAAAUAUUACUAAGUCUUAAGGAAAUAAACAUUAAUUGACUCUUAAUUAUCAAGUAAUUAAGAGGCAAAAUAUUUCCUUCGCAUUGACUGAUUCCAAAACAGUCCUCUUCAUGAAUCAAUCUCAGCUUGCAUUCAACAUUUGGCAUCUCAAAGUUAAACGAUUGUAACUCUUGUAUUAAUGUAAAAACACUUUUACUUUCAUCAACUAAUUUAAAACGAGAGUUAAUUUAAAUCCAUCUAACAGUGGACAAUUUAAAGUUAAUUUUGAAGAUCAAAAUAUUAGUUUAAAGAAAUUUCUAGACUUUUUCAAGCUCAAUGGCUAACUCUAAAUACGGUGUAUUAAGAUUUUGGUUGAAGAUCAGUUGGUAUUGGAAUUUUCCUCUGAAAUAUCGUGACCAGUGAUUAUAUUAAGACGUAGGAUAAGGCUAACAAUUAGCAUGAUAUGGUUGGUGUUGGAUUGGAAACUGAUUUCCCUAAACAAAAGAUGGAUCAUGGAUUUGAGGUCAUCUUUGUUUACACUCAAUACUGACACUCGAUUGGUAGUCAAUAUAAAUUGACCAACAUAUUGAAGGAUGCUAAUGUUUUGCUCGUUAAGUGAAAUGCAGCUUAGCAUAAAUCCAUGAAAAUGAGAGGAAUUGAAAAUGACCAAUUUCAUGUGACACUCGCUCAUGCUGGACCUGAGGCUGGUAAUGAAGCUGAGACCACCAAGAAACCUGUGGACAUCAGUAGUAUUUUAUCUCAACCAGAUAAAGUGAAAAUUAAUUUAUUAGAGCUGGUCAGUGGUGUUGGUAAAGCCAUCCAUUUAAUGAUCAACCAAAACCAGAAUUCUUCUUUGAACCAACGAACCUCUUUAGGUUUAGAUAUGCCUUUGGUCAAUAGUACGCUGACAGCUUUAUCCUCAUCGCCAAAAGGAUCAGUUGCCUCUGAUAGUGUACGAGCUGCCCGAGAAAAGGAGGAAAACAACAAACGAGCAGAAGAGUUGAGAGUGGAGAUUGCCAGGAGAACUGCACAAUUGCAAAAGAUUGUUGGUUCAGCCAUUGAAGUUAUGCGUGAUAGAGGUGAUGUCAUGGUUCGAAGAAUCUUGGAACAUUUAAAUACUCGACUUGAACAGGCUCGAACCAGCGCUGAUAAAAUAUUGAAGGAACCAGCAACUUCUGAGAUGGCUGUUCGUGCCUUGAACACUAUCAAUACAGGUCUCAAUAGUGUCAACCAGAUGAUCCAUAACACAUUAAACCGAGUUAACAUCCGAAUAAACGUUGACCUUAAAAAGCCAAAUGGUGAACCUGAAAAAGUGAAGGAAAAUUGAAACAAUUAAAUAUAAAUCGUCAAUACAAAGAAAAAUCACAAUUAUAUUAUAUUAAAUCCUUUUUUUUUGUCAUAUUUCAAAGGUACAGCAUGCAUACAAGCUUUGCCUUGAAUGUAGAAACAAUACUAAUGCAAUUCUAUAAUAAAAGAAACCCACCUUUAAAUUAAA